UGAGGAAUAUUGGUCAAUGGUCGGGAGACUGAACCAGCCAAGCCGCGUGAGGGAGGAAGGUACAGAGUAUCGUAAACCUCUUUUGUCGGAGAACAAAACCCGGGACGUGUCCCGGACUGCGUGUAUCCGAAGAAAAAGCAUCGGCUAACUCCGUGCCAGCAGCCGCGGUAAUACGGAGGAUGCGAGCGUUAUCCGGAUUUAUUGGGUUUAAAGGGUGCGUAGGCGGUCCGUUAAGUCAGCGGUAAAAUUGCGGGGCUCAACCCCGUCGAGCCGUUGAAACUGGCAGACUUGAGUUGGCGAGAAGUACGCGGAAUGCGCGGUGUAGCGGUGAAAUGCAUAGAUAUCGCGCAGAACUCCGAUUGCGAAGGCAGCGUACCGGCGCCAGACUGACGCUGAGGCACGAAAGCGUGGGGAUCGAACAGG
RNAcentral lists this ribosomal RNA (423 nucleotides) under uncultured bacterium. RNAcentral describes it as "bacterial SSU rRNA". It matches the Rfam family "Bacterial small subunit ribosomal RNA", at positions 355 to 776 of the family's 1533-position model. The record is from RNAcentral.